GAUGAACGCUGGCGGCGUGCCUAAUACAUGCGAGUCGAGCGAACAGAUGAGGAGCUUGCUCCUCUGACGUUAGCGGCGGACGGGUGAGUAACACGUGGAUAACCUACCUAUAAGACUGGGAUAACUUCGGGAAACCGGAGCUAAUACCGGAUAAUAUAUUGAACCGCAUGGUUCAAUAGUGAAAGACGGUUUUGCUGUCACUUAUAGAUGGAUCCGCGCCGCAUUAGCUAGUUGGUAAGGUACGGCUUACCAAGGCAACGAUGCGUAGCCGACCUGAGAGGGUGAUCGGCCACACUGGAACUGAGACACGGUCCAGACUCCUACGGGAGGCAGCAGUAGGGAAUCUUCCGCAAUGGGCGAAAGCCUGACGGAGCAACGCCGCGUGAGUGAUGAAGGUCUUCGGAUCGUAAAACUCUGUUAUUAGGGAAGAACAAAUGUGUAAGUAACUAUGCACGUCUUGACGGUACCUAAUCAGAAAGCCACGGCUAACUACGUG
Molecule: ribosomal RNA, 496 nt
Filed under: uncultured bacterium
Lineage: Bacteria
Description: partial 16S ribosomal RNA
Rfam family: Bacterial small subunit ribosomal RNA
Source: RNAcentral